AUGAACGCUGGCGGCGUGCCUAACACAUGCAAGUCGAACGGGGUAUACGCGCUGAUGAUCGAAGUGCUUGCAUAGAGAGAAUCUUGUGUAUACUUAGUGGCGGACGGGUGAGUAACGUGUGGAUAACCUGGUCCAUCCAGGGGGAUAGCAGCUGGAAACGGCUGGUAAUACCGCAUAAGCGCACAGUAAGGCAUCUUACAGUGUGAAAAGAUUUAUCGGGAUGGAAUGGAUCCGCAUCUGAUUAGCCAGUUGGCGGGGUAGAAGCCCACCAAAGCGACGAUCAGUAGCCGGCCUGAGAGGGCGGACGGUCACAUUGGGACUGAGACACGGCCCAGACUCCUACGGGAGGCAGCAGUGGGGGAUAUUGCACAAUGGGGGGAACCCUGAUGCAGCGACGCCGCGUGGGUGAAGAAGUAUUUCGGUAUGUAAAGCCCUAUCAGCAGGGAAGAUAAUGACGGUACCUGAGUAAGAAGCCCCGGCUAACUACGUGCCAGCAGCUGC
Molecule: ribosomal RNA, 501 nt
Filed under: uncultured bacterium
Lineage: Bacteria
Description: bacterial SSU rRNA
Rfam family: Bacterial small subunit ribosomal RNA
Source: RNAcentral